This 459-nucleotide ribosomal RNA is filed under the name uncultured Arcobacter sp. RNAcentral describes it as "bacterial SSU rRNA". It matches the Rfam family "Bacterial small subunit ribosomal RNA", at positions 925 to 1382 of the family's 1533-position model. Lineage: Bacteria; Pseudomonadati; Campylobacterota; Epsilonproteobacteria; Campylobacterales; Arcobacteraceae. The record is from RNAcentral.
ACAAGCGGUGGAGCAUGUGGUUUAAUUCGAAGCAACGCGAAGAACCUUACCAGGCCUUGACAUACUAAAAAGCUUUAAGAGAUUAGAGUGUGCUAGCUUGCUAGAAUUUAGAUACAGGUGCUGCACGGCUGUCGUCAGCUCGUGUCGUGAGAUGUUGGGUUAAGUCCCGCAACGAGCGCAACCUCGUGUUUAGUUGCUAACAGUUCGGCUGAGAACUCUAAACAGACUGCCUACGCAAGUAGGAGGAAGGUGAGGACGACGUCAAGUCAUCAUGGCCCUUACGGCCAGGGCUACACACGUGCUACAAUGGGGUAUACAAAGAGCAGCGAUACGGUGACGUGGAGCAAAUCUAGAAAAUGCCUCUCAGUUCGGAUUGUAGUCUGCAACUCGACUACAUGAAGUUGGAAUCGCUAGUAAUCGUAGAUCAGCAAUGCUACGGUGAAUACGUUCCCGGGUCUU